UAGGGAGGGUGCAAGCGUUAAUCGGAAUGGCUGGGCGUAAAGCGCACGCAGGCGGUUUGUUAAGUCAGAUGUGAAAUCCCCGAGCUUAACUUGGGAACUGCAUUUGAAACUGGCAAGCUAGAGUCUUGUAGAGGGGGGUAGAAUUCCAGGUGUAGCGGUGAAAUGCGUAGAGAUCUGGAGGAAUACCGGUGGCGAAGGCGGCCCCCUGGACGAAGACUGACGCUCAGGUGCGAAAGCGUGGGGAGCAAACAGG
This 253-nucleotide ribosomal RNA is filed under the name uncultured bacterium. RNAcentral describes it as "partial 16S ribosomal RNA". It matches the Rfam family "Bacterial small subunit ribosomal RNA", at positions 524 to 776 of the family's 1533-position model. The record is from RNAcentral.